Molecule: long non-coding RNA, 950 nt
Filed under: Anser brachyrhynchus (Pink-footed goose)
Lineage: Eukaryota; Metazoa; Chordata; Aves; Anseriformes; Anatidae
Description: lncRNA (ENSABRG00000017891.1)
Source: RNAcentral
GGGGUCAGCCUCUAUAAAGGAUGCUAUGGAACAGGUACAUUUUACCAUGUACCCCAUAUAAUGUACUUACAGAGUUGUUUCUCUCUAGGGAUUGCCCUGCUACAGAAAAAGUAAUAGCCUUUGACGUACGGGUUUGUGAGGUGUAUUAAAAGCAUGAGUUAGCCGCUCUCUAAUAUCUCUGGAGAUCCUAAUAUCUGACAACAAAUCCUCAUCUGGACGGCACAGAACCUGUAAAACUCAGUGGAGGAACGCAGAGCCUUUUCUUCCUGAAAAGAUCCAAACAAGAAAUGGAUUCUCUCUAAACCCAACACUGCAAUUUUGGGAAAGGCGUAUUUACAAACACCUUGAGUAAUCACAGAUGCCCUCCACCACAUCCCAGCUCCUUUUCACAAAAUCUCUCACACGGCAUCCAAGCGAUUCAAUGCUUAAGAGCAGUUGCCCCAGUUGUCCCUCGCCUUUCAGGCAACCAACUGCCUGCUAAGAUGCAAAGGGCCCAGGAAAUUCAAAGGGCUUGAUAUGCGCUGGCCAGUGUAUAGACAACGCCUUCUAGUCUGUGCUUUGUUCUCAAGGGGAACAGUUUUAUUUUAUUCUCAUGACAGAUUAUUUUGGAUUUCAAAGGAAGAUGAACACUUGGGUUGCCUGCACGGCAGACAAUGACUUCCAGGACCACAACUACUCUUUCCUCCCUGCCAGCAUCUUCAUAAUGCCAAAUGGGACAGAGAGACAUAAAAUUUCAAUUACAUGCGAUGAAAAAAGAAUAUGUUUCCAAUUAGGUAACAGUGACCACAGAGCUGUUUCCACCAGAUUUGGUGUGAAUUUUGCUGGAGGAUGAGAAGCUGACUGAAAUAUCAAAUAUGUAUUCUGAAACGUAUUUAGGCUCUUUUCCUUAAACCUGUCUCCUUCCAGAAGCCCUAAGCGGCAAAUAAACUUUCCAUAUCCUGAAGAGGUCA